GAUGAAGAACGUAGCGAAAUGCGAUACUUGGUGUGAAUUGCAGAAUCCCGAGAACCAUCGAGUCUUUGAACGCAAGUUGCGCCCGAAGCCAUUAGGCCGAGGGCACGCCUGCCUGGGCGUCACACGUCGUUGCCCCCCCAUCUACUCCUUCGGGAUUGCGGGGGGCGGAUGAUGGCCUCCCGUGCGCCUCGCCGCGCGGUUGGCAUAAAUGCCAAGUCCUCGGCGACGCACGCCACGACAAUCGGUGGUUGCGAAACCUCGGUUGCCCGUCGUGUGCGGUCGUCGCGCAUCGAGGGCUCGAAAAAAUUGCCGGGUUCCGGCUCGGCUUUCAACGCGACCCCAGGUCAGGCGGGGUUACCCGCUGAAUUUAAGCAUAUCAAUAAGCGGA
Molecule: unclassified non-coding RNA, 388 nt
Filed under: soil metagenome
Description: partial contains 5.8S ribosomal RNA, internal transcribed spacer 2, and large subunit ribosomal RNA
Rfam family: 5.8S ribosomal RNA (bases 1-122)
Source: RNAcentral